Molecule: ribosomal RNA, 404 nt
Filed under: Fusobacteriota bacterium
Lineage: Bacteria; Fusobacteriati; Fusobacteriota
Description: Fusobacteria bacterium partial 16S ribosomal RNA
Rfam family: Bacterial small subunit ribosomal RNA
Source: RNAcentral
UGGGGAAUAUUGCACAAUGGAGGGAACUCUGAUGCAGCGACGCCGCGUGAGUGAUGAAGGAAUUCGUUUCGUAAAACUCUGUUCUAUGGGAAGAAAAGGACUGUACCAUAGGAGAAAGCUCCGGCUAAAUACGUGCCAGCAGCCGCGGUAAUACGUAUGGAGCGAGCGUUGUCCGGAAUUAUUGGGCGUAAAGGGUGCGCAGGCGGCUUUACAAGUUGGAUGUGAAAUAUUGUGGCUCAACCACAAACGUGCAUUCAAAACUGCAAAGCUUGAGUUAAGGAGAGGUAAGUGGAAUUCCUGGUGUAGCGGUGGAAUGCGUAGAUAUCAGGAGGAAUACCGGUGGCGAAGGCGACUUACUGGACUUAAACUGACGCUCAGGCACGAAAGCGUGGGGAGCAAACAGG